GACGAACGCUGGCGGCGUGCUUAACACAUGCAAGUCGAACGGAAAGGCCCUGCUUUUGUGGGGUGCUCGAGUGGCGAACGGGUGAGUAACACGUGAGUAACCUGCCCUUGACUUUGGGAUAACUUCAGGAAACUGGGGCUAAUACCGGAUAGGAGCUCCUGCUGCAUGGUGGGGGUUGGAAAGUUUCGGCGGUUGGGGAUGGACUCGCGGCUUAUCAGCUUGUUGGUGGGGUAGUGGCUUACCAAGGCUUUGACGGGUAGCCGGCCUGAGAGGGUGACCGGCCAGAUUAGGACUGAGAGACGGCCCAGACUCCUACGGGGGACAGCAGUGGGGAAUAUUGCACAAUGGGCGGAAGCCUGAUGCAGAAACGCCGCGUGCGGGAUGACGGCCUUCGGGUUGUAAACCGCUUUCGCCUGUGACGAGGCGUGAGUGACGGUAAUGGGUAAAGAAGCACCGGCUAACUACGUG
Molecule: ribosomal RNA, 468 nt
Filed under: uncultured bacterium
Lineage: Bacteria
Description: partial 16S ribosomal RNA
Rfam family: Bacterial small subunit ribosomal RNA
Source: RNAcentral